Small nuclear RNA from Camelus dromedarius (Arabian camel), 107 nucleotides. The record is from Ensembl. NCBI's taxonomy places the organism in Eukaryota, Metazoa, Chordata, Mammalia, Artiodactyla, Camelidae.
GUGCUCGCUUUGGCAGCACAUAUACUAAAAUUGGAACAAAACAGAGAAGAUUAGCAUGGCCCCUGCACAAGGAUGACACGCAAAUUCGUGAAGUGUUCCAUAUUUCA